UAGGGGUGGGUGGGGUUUAUUUUUUG
RNAcentral lists this non-coding RNA (26 nucleotides) under Cricetulus griseus (Chinese hamster). The record is from RNAcentral. Lineage: Eukaryota; Metazoa; Chordata; Mammalia; Rodentia; Cricetidae.